CUGGGCAACAAGGCGAGACUUUAUCUCAAAAAAAAAAAACCCAAGGAGGAACAAAUCCUGAUUUUGGAAAGAAUUCAGUAAGUCUUCUCUAAUGAGCUUCCUCAAAACACUUCUCCUUCAGGCAAGGAGCCCUUUUUUCCCCUUUAGAACAACCAUUUACAGCAUCUGAGGCCUUUUUUAAGGGCCAGUUCUCUUCCCUGCUGUUAGGUUUUUAGUUUUAAGAUCAAGUUUCCAACAUAAUUUGUUUUGUUGUUGUGAGAUUAAACUGGCCAUAUGAGUAUUAAAACCAUCUGCUUGUGAAAUAGCAAGCUGAAACUCAACCAAAACAUGAAGCUGUUUAUUACGCUCGCAUACCAAGUCCUCUCUCUUCAUGGGUGGGGACGGGGAAUUCAUUUGCAGAAAGAAGGUGCAUUUCCAGUCACCCAGAACCGGGCGCUGCAGCUGCUUUAUGAUCUGCGUUACCUCAACAUUGUUCUGACAGCCAAGGCUGACGAGGUGAAGAGUGGCCGGAGCAAGCCAGACUCCAGAAUUGAGAAAGUGACUGACCACCUGGAAGCCCUCA
This 562-nucleotide small RNA is filed under the name Pongo abelii (Sumatran orangutan). Its description in RNAcentral is "retained intron". The record is from RNAcentral. Lineage: Eukaryota; Metazoa; Chordata; Mammalia; Primates; Hominidae.